GAAAAUAGCUCAGCUGGUAGAGCGCCACCUUGCCAAGGUGGAGGUCGCGAGUUCGAAUCUCGUUUUUC
Molecule: transfer RNA, 68 nt
Filed under: marine eukaryotic metagenome
Rfam family: tRNA
About the family: Transfer RNA (tRNA) molecules are approximately 80 nucleotides in length. Their secondary structure includes four short double-helical elements and three loops (D, anti-codon, and T loops).
Source: RNAcentral